GAAUGCCUUGGCAUCAGGAGCCGAUGAAGGACGUGAUAAGCUGCGAUAAGCUUCGGGUAGGCGCACAUAGCCUGAGAUCCGAAGAUCUCCGAAUGAGGAAACUCACAUGGGAAACCCCAUGUAUCAUUAAGUGAAUACAUAGCUUAAUGAAGGUAACCCAGGGAACUGAAACAUCUAAGUACCUGGAGGAAGAGAAAGAAAAAUCGAUUUUCUUAGUAGCGGCGAGCGAAAGGGAAAGAGCCCAAACCGGAAACUUGUUUCCGGGGUUGUGGACAUAACAUAAAAGUGGAGGCUAUUGUAACUGAAGAGAACUGGAAAGUUCCACCGUAGAAGGUAAUAGUCCUGUAAGUGAAACGAGAAGACCACGAGUUAUGAUCCAGAGUACCACGAGACACGUGAAACCUUGUGGGAAGCAGGGAGGACCACCUCCCAAGGCUAAAUACUACCUGAUGACCGAUAGUGAAGCAGUACCGUGAGGGAAAGGUGAAAAGAACCCCGGGAGGGGAGUGAAAUAGAACCUGAAACCGUGUGCCUACAACCGCUCAGAGCCCCUUAUGAGGGUGAUGAGGUGCUUUUUGUAGAACGAGCCAACGAGUUACGGUAUGUAGCAAGGUUAAGUACUUAAGGUACGGAGCCGAAGGGAAACCGAGUCUGAAUAGGGCGACUAGUUGCAUGCCGUAGACCCGAAACCGGGUGACCUAUCCAUGGCCAGGUUGAAGCGAGGGUAAAACCUCGUGGAGGACCGAACCACGUUGCUGUUGAAAAAGCAUGGGAUGAGCUGUGGAUAGCGGAGAAAUUCCAAUCGAACCCGGAGAUAGCUGGUUCUCUCCGAAAUAGCUUUAGGGCUAGCGUCGAGUAUGAGUAGUGGAGGUAGAGCACUGAAUGGGCUAGGGGGCAUAGCGCUUACCGAACCUUAUCAAACUCCGAAUGCCACAUACUUUGAGCUCGGCAGUCAGACUACGAAUGAUAAGAUCCGUGGUCAAAAGGGAAACAGCCCAGAUCGUCAGCUAAGGUCCCAAAGUGUAAGUUAAGUGGGAAAGGAUGUGAGAUUUCUAAGACAACUAGGAUGUUGGCUUAGAAGCAGCCAUUCAUUAAAAGAGUGCGUAAUAGCUCACUAGUCGAGAGAUCUUGCGCCGAAAAUGUAACGGGGCUAAACUUACCACCGAAGCUACGGGCUUGAACUUAGUUCAAGCGGUAGGAGAGCGUCGUAACCGGGCUGAAGUCGUACCGUAAGGAGCGGUGGACUGGUUACGAGUGAGAAUGUUGGCAUCAGUAGCGAGAUGUGGGUGAGAAUCCCACAGGCCGAAAACCUAAGGUUUCCUCAGGAAGGUUCGUCCGCUGAGGGUUAGUCGGGACCUAAGCCGAGGCCGAAAGGCGUAGGUGAUGGACAACUGGUUGAUAUUCCAGUACCACUACCAUCGUUAUUAUCGAUGGCGUGACGCAGGAGGAUAGUGUGUGCUAGCUAUUGGAUGCUAGUCUAAGCGUUUAGGCAGUGAGAGUAGGCAAAUCCGCUCUCAUAAUGCUGAGGCGUGAUGGGGAAGGUUCUACGGAACCGAAGUACAUGAUUCCACGCUGCCAAGAAAAGCGUCUAGAGAGAGAAGUAGUGCCCGUACCGCAAACCGACACAGGUAGGUGAGGAGAGAAUCCUAAGGCCGGCGGAAGAAUUACAGUUAAGGAACUCGGCAAAUUGACCCCGUAAGUUCGCGAGAAGGGGUGCCUACGAGAGUAGGCCGCAGAGAAUAGGCCCAAGCAACUGUUUAGCAAAAACACAGGUCUCUGCUAAAGCGUAAGCUGAUGUAUAGGGGCUGACGCCUGCCCGGUGCUGGAAGGUUAAGGGGAACACUUAGCGCAAGCGAAGGUGUGAACUUAAGCCCCAGUAAACGGCGGCCGUAACUAUAACGGUCCUAAGGUAGCGAAAUUCCUUGUCAGGUAAGUUCUGACCCGCACGAAUGGCGUAAUGACUUGGGCACUGUCUCAACUGUAAAUCCGGCGAAGUUGUAGUGCGAGUGAAGAUGCUCGCUACCCGCGAUUGGACGGAAAGACCCCGUAGAGCUUUACUGUAGCUUAGCAUUGAGUUUUGGUAUUGUCUGUACAGGAUAGGUGGGAGACUAGGAAACCAGGGCGUCAGCCUUGGUGGAGUCAACCUUGGGAUACCACCCUGACAGUACUGAAAUUCUAACUGGCGGCCAUGAAUCUGGUCACAGGACAUUGUUAGGUGGGCAGUUUGACUGGGGCGGUCGCCUCCUAAAAAGUAACGGAGGCGCCCAAAGGUUCCCUCAGAACGGUCGGAAAUCGUUCGAAGAGUGCAAAGGCAGAAGGGAGCCUGACUGCGACACCCACAAGUGGAGCAGGGACGAAAGUCGGGCUUAGUGAUCCGGUGGUACCUCGUGGGAGGGCCAUCGCUCAACGGAUAAAAGCUACCUCGGGGAUAACAGGCUGAUCUCCCCCAAGAGUCCACAUCGACGGGGAGGUUUGGCACCUCGAUGUCGGCUCGUCGCAUCCUGGGGCUGAAGUAGGUCCCAAGGGUUGGGCUGUUCGCCCAUUAAAGCGGCACGCGAGCUGGGUUCAGAACGUCGUGAGACAGUUCGGUCCCUAUCCGUCGCGGGCGUAGGAAAUUUGAGAGGAGCUGUCCUUAGUACGAGAGGACCGGGAUGGACUGACCUCUGGUGUACCAGUUGUUCCGCCAGGAGCACAGCUGGGUAGCUAAGUCGGGAAUGGAUAAACGCUGAAAGCAUCUAAGCGUGAAGCCAACCUCAAGAUGAGAUUUCCCAUAGCGUAAGCUAGUAAGAUCCCUUGAAGAACACAAGGUUGAUAGGUCGGGGGUGUAAGCAUGGUAACAUGUUCAGCUGACCGAUACUAAUAGAUCGAGGGCUUGACCAAAU
This 2882-nucleotide ribosomal RNA is filed under the name Shigella sonnei. RNAcentral's name for it is "partial 23S ribosomal RNA". It matches the Rfam family "Bacterial large subunit ribosomal RNA". Lineage: Bacteria; Pseudomonadati; Pseudomonadota; Gammaproteobacteria; Enterobacterales; Enterobacteriaceae. The record is from RNAcentral.